RNAcentral lists this ribosomal RNA (391 nucleotides) under Ortalis vetula (plain chachalaca). RNAcentral's name for it is "partial 12S ribosomal RNA". It matches the Rfam family "Bacterial small subunit ribosomal RNA", at positions 794 to 1380 of the family's 1533-position model. Lineage: Eukaryota; Metazoa; Chordata; Aves; Galliformes; Cracidae. The record is from RNAcentral.
GCCUAGCCCUAAAUCUAGAUACUUCCCCUACCAAAGUACUCGCCCGAGAACUACGAGCACAAACGCUUAAAACUCUAAGGACUUGGCGGUGUCCCAAACCCACCUAGAGGAGCCUGUUCUAUAACCGAUAACCCACGAUGCACCCAACCACCUCUUGCUAAUGCAGCCUACAUACCGCCGUCGCCAGCUCACCUCCCCUGAGAGUUCCACAGUGAGCUCAAUAGUCCCCUCCCCACUAACAAGACAGGUCAAGGUAUAGCCUAUGAGGUGGAAGAAAUGGGCUACAUUUCCUAACAUAGGACAUACGGAACAAGGGCGUGAAACCGCCCCUAGAAGGAGGAUUUAGCAGUAAAGCUGAACAAUAGAGUCUACUUUAAACUGGCUCUGGGAC